Mus musculus (house mouse) is the source of this 4054-nucleotide long non-coding RNA. RefSeq annotates it as predicted gene, 33239. The transcript has 4 exons. Lineage: Eukaryota; Metazoa; Chordata; Mammalia; Rodentia; Muridae. The record is from RefSeq and is a predicted model, not a curated record.
CAUAGUCAAACCACAGAGAUGCACGCUUGGAUGACAGAGCUGAGCUACCCUCGCUGGUUUCGUAACUAUUCCUCAGAAGAGAGACAAUCACCAAACCCCCAAAUCUUCUAGAAAAAUCAACCGUGAAAAACAGAUAAGUGAUGAAACUUCAUUCGGCCUGAUCAACGGCUGUGAAGAACUCUCAAAGUCCCUUUAGCAGGCUGGAAAUACGAACGCUAUUUUUUCCAACACAGAAGUCUGCAUUUUUCUCAAAGCCUGGGCUUUGGCGUUCACCGAUGUUUUUUAAAGCCAGGGUCCCUGAUGCCUCUUUUGGGUCUGGUCUUGGGUCUUCUCAUCGUCAAUGCUUCCCAGCAGAUGCGUCUGUCUUGAUCUCCAAUGCCUGAGAACAAUGACACGUUCCCUAAACAAUUAGUGCAUAAAUGGCCGAGAGGGCGGAAUUGAAAGGAAGUGCAGCGAGCCAGAAUUUAGAUGCCCGCCGAGUUUCCAGCCAAAAGUAGCAUCAAAGUCUGUGGGAAAUGAUGCUUCACAGAUGCAAAAGGGUUUCUCAGCACUCCUGGGUCUCUGGAGCCCGUGUUUACACCUCUUGAAGUCAUCUCCAUCAGCAUCUCCACGUUUGAACCACUCAGCUUGGAUUCUGACUGGCUGUUGUAUCUCCCAUUCACUGAUGGAUAAAUGGAGGCUAAGAGGACUCAAGCUGUGCCCACACAUCUGUAUUGGACAAUACAAAGAUAGGGAGAAAAACGGAGACAUAGAGAACAUGCAGAAGUGACGCCAUCGCAGGAGAACCCAUGGCCACAAGAAAGGAGGAUUCCAGAAGAGGACGCUCCUGGGAAACAGGAUGUCAAGAUUCUUGACCACCUGUUGACAGCAGCUUCAGAGUCUGGAGGGUCCCAUGGUGCUCAAGGAGGAGCCAUUGAAGGAAAGAUGUUCAAGUGGGAAGAAUGGAGACACUCGUAAGGGUAAAGGGAGCUUCAGUCAGUCUACUUCUAAGUACCAGGAGAUGUUUUGUGUGGAGCACCCUGCUUGAGGUUGGCCUUGCAAGGAACUUCAGUCAAUAAGAAAAUAUCUAUGGCCAAUGAUUUGGGGUCAGCUGGUUCCUUCCAACGGCAUCAUAAGGAUGUGCCAAAACUCUACCUGUGUAGUCUGUCCUGAAGAGCCCAGUGCAGAGCAGGUCUCUAAGUACAGUGUAAACAGUGGUCCUGCCUCACCCUGGGUUAAGGACAGAUGCACAGAUGCAUGGGGAAUGGCUGGGAAAUGUCUUCCUGGAUUCCCCCAUAAGUCAUUCAUUCUCUAUGACGUCUACUGGUUUUGGAAAUAUAAAGAGCACACAAAUGAAAGGAGAGGGAACCAGUCAGAGAAAGAGAAAAAUGGAGGGUCUGAGUUCUUGCCACUUCCUACAGAGAUGGCUGGUUCAGUAUUCCCCCGUGCCUGCUACACUCCCUGGGCUUCAGCCUCCACUUUAAUGCAUAAUUUAUGGAUGCAAUUAACAGAAACCAAUCAACCAAGACUGUGCACACAGUACUGUGUUUAACAACAGAUGCCUCCAAUAGUGAUUAUGUUAGAAUAAUAACAACACUGAAAACACGCCCGGUCAUCAGGACUGUGUUGCCAAAGCUAACAAGACUGAUGGUUUUACCAAUAAAAAAGCCAGCGAGCGAGCCUGGGAGGAGGAUUCUGGGUGCUGUGGCUGCCGCUUGUUUUUCUUAUGCAGAGGCUCAGACUUUUAAACUUCUGUGUGUGUGUGUGUGUGUGUACACAUGUAUGUGCACCCAUGUGAAGACAGGUGUCCUUCCUCAGGAACUAGGGUCUAUCUCUCAUUUGCACCUGGGGCUUGACGAUUAGGUUAAUUGGGCUGGCCAGUGAUCUCUAAGCAUCCCCCUGACUUUUUCUUCUCCGGAUCUAGGAUUAUAAUUAUAACCAAGCCACUACCCUUAGAUUCUAACUUUUGUUUCUUUGUUUACUUGGGGGGGGGGGGGAUGAAUGAGAAGUAUUGCCCCAUAGGCUGGGGUAUUUAAAUACUUGGUGCCCAGUUGAUAGAACUGAUUGGAGAGGUUAUAGGGAGAUGUAGCCUUGCUGUAGGAAGUAUGUUACUGGACCUGGGUUUGGGAGGUUAGGGCCGCACACAACUUUCAAUUCAUUCUCGACUUCAUGCUUGCAGCUGAGGGCGGGAGCUCUCAACUUUCCACUCCAGUCACCAUGCCUGCUGCUGGUUGCCAUGCCUUCCUGUCAGGACGGACUUUGGAACCAUAAGCCCAAAUAACCAUUUUGUCCUAUAAGUUGCCUUGAUCAUUGUGUGAUAUCGCAGUAAUAGAAAAGUAACUAAAACUAUGGGUCCUGGGGCUUCAACUCCGAGCCUCCUGCUUACAUCACUAACAGUUUACAAACAGCAGCAUUUGCGGUCUGGCUUUCUCAUUCAUUGCGUCUCAGUUCAUCCUGUUCCCAACACUGCCAUCUAAGGGAACUGUUCUGGAUGUAGGUGGUCAUCAACCCCUGUAGCUUGUAGAUCCUCUAAACUGUACCAGAGGAUCUGCUUCUUGCCCAGCUUCCGAUCACGGCUCGGCAGCAGGCAGCUUCCUCUGUGUAUUCCUGUGCAGAUGUGAGUCUGUUUCCUCACGCACCUCACCUUCUGCUCCACUUCUCUCUGUGUCUAUCAGUCCCUUGGCUUCCCCAUCAACGAGGGUCCCUUUGCACAAAGGCGGUGUUAGAACUACACGGUUUCACACAGGGAAAUCCCUUGGCCGAGGACUCAGGUCAGAACAAACUGAAACUUGUGAUUGUCGCCAUAGGGAGCCUCAAGCUGGUGCAGGAGGCCUGUGGAGAUUCUGCUGAACAUCGGGGUCCCGCUGUGCGUCUGCUUUUCGUCCUUUAUUUAUUUCUAUUGCAUUCUCAAUAGAGUCUCUCACCUUGUAGCUAGAGCCUGCUUCAUGCCUUCACACUCCUGCUUCCCUCACCGAGCAAGUGCGGGGUAACAGUCAUCACUGCGCAAGUGCGCAGGAGGGUAACAGACUUGUACCUCCUGCAUGGCAUUUUGUCAUGAAUUCUUUUUAACUUAGUAAAAAUGUAAAGGACUUUGCUAUGCUGGGUUUUGUUUUGUUUUGUUUUGUUUUUUACACAUCUGUGCCAUUGUAUUUGAUUAUUUUUAUUUAAUCCCGAUCCCUCCGCUGCCCUCCCCCUUCCUGGUACUCUUCUGGGUCCCCAACAUUUAGGCCCCUUUGCUUUCAAACCCUAUGAAUUCUAUCCUUCCCUGCCCCAAGUUCUAACUGUGGAGUGCUUGGUCAUUCUGAAAGUGAGCAUCCAGGCCAGCCCCGUUUUCUGUAUUCACACCCUUUAUAUCUAAGCUACAGCUGCCUUUAUGCCACCGUCACGGAGGAGUCCAGGGGUGAGCAUCACGUGCUGUAGGCAGCUGACAACCGGGGGCUGCCAUGGUCUGUCAGUGGGAUGCAUCCCAGACCUGUGAACAUGGCUGCUCUCAACGGACAGGUUUUUCCUUCAGCCUGGAAGCUGAUGAUGAACGGGGGCUCCAACUGUUCCCAAGCUGCAGUAAAACUUCUCCAUCUGUCACCACGGUUUCCCGUUCUUCACUCUUUCGAGCUGAGUUUUCAAGAGCCCUGUGUUUGACUCAAGGAGGUGCAGAAUGAGGACUCUGACACUUUCUGACCGCUACAGUCACAUUUGCCUGUGAGCCACAAACAUACUUUGAGUGAAAGUCCACGAGACUCUCCAUCUCCUUCUCUCCACCUUUAGUGCUUUUGUUUGUUUCUUUGCUUAAGACGGGAUCUCACAUAUGCCAAGCUGGUUUUGAACUCAUACAGUUAAAAGGACCUUGAACCCUUGGGAGUUUCCGCCUCCACCUCCAGAGUGCUGGGAUUACAGUUGAGCACCAGGCUUAGUCUUUUUAGUCUAAAAAAAAAAGUAGAAAUAAGAUGGUCUGUUGGUUUGCUGCAAAUUUACUGUUUCCCCGUUGUUCAAAAGGCUAGGGGUAAUUUCAGUUAUCUUUAGACACGUGUGAUCAACACUGUUUGUCACAGACUCCAUUAAUUUGAGAAAUAAUACA